GCUUUUGUAGCCGAACACCUAAGGCGUCGGUCUUGUAAGCCGAAGAUUGGAGAUGGGACCCUCCCUAAAGCA
RNAcentral lists this transfer RNA (72 nucleotides) under Gymnura poecilura (longtail butterfly ray). RNAcentral describes it as "tRNA-Thr". It matches the Rfam family "tRNA". From Rfam's summary of the family: Transfer RNA (tRNA) molecules are approximately 80 nucleotides in length. Their secondary structure includes four short double-helical elements and three loops (D, anti-codon, and T loops). The record is from RNAcentral. Lineage: Eukaryota; Metazoa; Chordata; Chondrichthyes; Myliobatiformes; Gymnuridae.